UAGGUGGCAAGCGUUGUCCGGAUUUACUGGGUGUAAAGGGCGUGUAGGCGGAGCAGCAAGUCAGAAGUGAAAUCUCCGGGCUUAACCCGGAAACUGCUUUUGAAACUGUUGCCCUUGAGUAUCGGAGAGGCAGGCGGAAUUCCUAGUGUAGAGGUGAAAUGCGUAGAUAUUAGGAGGAACACCAGUGGCGAAGGCGGCCUGCUGGACGACAACUGACGCUGAGGCGCGAAAGCGUGGGGAGC
This 242-nucleotide ribosomal RNA is filed under the name uncultured bacterium. RNAcentral's name for it is "partial 16S ribosomal RNA". It matches the Rfam family "Bacterial small subunit ribosomal RNA", at positions 528 to 769 of the family's 1533-position model. The record is from RNAcentral.